Molecule: long non-coding RNA, 489 nt
Organism: Bombina bombina (fire-bellied toad)
Lineage: Eukaryota; Metazoa; Chordata; Amphibia; Anura; Bombinatoridae
Exons: 4
Source: RefSeq, a predicted model, not a curated record
CAACAAUUCUGCAUCCAUAACAAUGAUUUUUCGGGGGGGGUUGUGUUUCUUCUCCAACAGAUGAAAGUGAUGAAUCAUCCUCAUCAUCCGAGGAGGAGAUUUCCUCAGAAGCAUGUCCUACACUGGUGACGGCAGAGGAGGAAGAUGAGCCUGAAAAUGAAGAUGACAGUGAUGCAUAUGCUACAUCAGCCCUAAGUCCGGAGGAGAGACAAGAGGAGGAGGCGGAAAGUGAAUCUGAAACAGACAGUGGCACUGAAUAUGCAGCCACAGCAGAGGAUGAGGUGGAAAAAAAAGAAACGGUUGAAAUAGGGACACAAACAGAGCCCUCAGUUACACAAUUCAGGGACCUUCGUCAGGCACUGCGAAAUUUUGUAGAGGCUGCAAGAGUACUAGAGCAUUCACUUCAAAAUCUUUAAGAAAUUCAUUGUAUAUAUUUUUCUUUGUUUUACAACAAUCAUUUUAUGAAUAAUUAAAAAUUUAUAUUUAUAA